RNAcentral lists this ribosomal RNA (631 nucleotides) under Escherichia coli. RNAcentral describes it as "partial 23S ribosomal RNA". It matches the Rfam family "Bacterial large subunit ribosomal RNA", at positions 418 to 1049 of the family's 2925-position model. The record is from RNAcentral. Lineage: Bacteria; Pseudomonadati; Pseudomonadota; Gammaproteobacteria; Enterobacterales; Enterobacteriaceae.
CGGGACACGUGGUAUCCUGUCUGAAUAUGGGGGGACCAUCCUCCAAGGCUAAAUACUCCUGACUGACCGAUAGUGAACCAGUACCGUGAGGGAAAGGCGAAAAGAACCCCGGCGAGGGGAGUGAAAAAGAACCUGAAACCGUGUACGUACAAGCAGUGGGAGCACGCUUAGGCGUGUGACUGCGUACCUUUUGUAUAAUGGGUCAGCGACUUAUAUUCUGUAGCAAGGUUAACCGAAUAGGGGAGCCGAAGGGAAACCGAGUCUUAACUGGGCGUUAAGUUGCAGGGUAUAGACCCGAAACCCGGUGAUCUAGCCAUGGGCAGGUUGAAGGUUGGGUAACACUAACUGGAGGACCGAACCGACUAAUGUUGAAAAAUUAGCGGAUGACUUGUGGCUGGGGGUGAAAGGCCAAUCAAACCGGGAGAUAGCUGGUUCUCCCCGAAAGCUAUUUAGGUAGCGCCUCGUGAAUUCAUCUCCGGGGGUAGAGCACUGUUUCGGCAAGGGGGUCAUCCCGACUUACCAACCCGAUGCAAACUGCGAAUACCGGAGAAUGUUAUCACGGGAGACACACGGCGGGUGCUAACGUCCGUCGUGAAGAGGGAAACAACCCAGACCGCCAGCUAAGGUCCCA